UACGUAGGGAGCAAGCGUUGUCCGGAAUCAUUGGGCGUAAAGCGCGCGUAGGUGGCCACAUAAGUCCGUUGUGAAAGUCAAAGGCUCAACCUUUGAAAGCCGAUGGAUACUGUGUGGCUAGAGUACGGAAGAGGCGAGUGGAAUUCCUGGUGUAGCGGUGGAAUGCGCAGAUAUCAGGAGGAACACCGGUGGCGAAGGCGGGUCUCUGGGCCGAAAUUGACGCUGAGGAGCGAAAGCGUGGGGAGCAAACAGG
Molecule: ribosomal RNA, 253 nt
Filed under: uncultured bacterium
Lineage: Bacteria
Description: partial 16S ribosomal RNA
Rfam family: Bacterial small subunit ribosomal RNA
Source: RNAcentral